This is a long non-coding RNA of Lactuca sativa (garden lettuce), 886 nucleotides long. RefSeq lists it as uncharacterized. The record is from RefSeq and is a predicted model, not a curated record. Lineage: Eukaryota; Viridiplantae; Streptophyta; Magnoliopsida; Asterales; Asteraceae.
CUGAAUUGUAAUUUUCUUUUGUUAAAUCCAACUGUGUUUUGAUGUAAUGAGCUGUAAAUUUGAAUGACUAUAAACUAUCAUAUGCCUAUGUUCAUCCAGAAAAGUCAGUUCUAGAACUUCUUCUGGGAAGGAAGGUGAGAUUGAAGGUAAGGCAAAGCUGUUACAACUGUAUUGGAUUCAUAUUUUGUGAUUUUUCAUUUGAUAACUUGAUUUAUCGUAGGCUGUUCACCGGCUGGAUAGGUUACUCUUAUUUUUCUAGUAUGAUUGGUUGCAUUGACUUUUUCUCAUUCAUUAAUUUGCUACAAAUAAUUGAAUGGAUACCAAAGAAUCAAUUUGAAAGCUCUUUAGUGAUGUGGUAUUUCGUGUUUCUUCAAAUGACACAAUUUGGGUAGCCAUCCCACACAAAUCUUGAUUUAUGUUCUAUGUUAUCAUUAUUUUUCUUGAAUAGGUUUGUUUAUUAUAUAUUAUUAUUUAAAUAAUCUACCCAGUCCAGUCGUAGUAGAAUAAUUCUAGCAAACUUUGCUAAUAAGGGCAGUUUGCUUGGACCAGAUAUUAAGCUUGCUGAUGCCAUGAUUAGAACUUGUGUUUUGGAUAACGGUGGUGUUGUUGGGCUUCAAAGACAAAUUAUUAGAGAUAACAUAUUGUAUUAUGUUUUAAUUAUUAUUUACAACCCUUUUAAUUAAUGUUUUUUAGCUAAUUUGUGAGAAUGAUGUCGAUUUUGUAUAAAAGUAUUGGAAAAUUAUUAACCUGGUUUGAGGUUAGCCCAAAAAGUAGUGAAUCCCUUUGCAAACGCUAUGCUUCAGAAUCUUCACUAAUUAGAAAGAAAAAAAAAAAAAAAAAAAAAAAAAAAAAAAAAAAAAAAAAAAAAACCCUAAAAAAGAGUAAA